GCCUGCCAGAUGACAAAGUUAAACGGCCGCGGUACCCUGACCGUGCGAAGGUAGCGCAAUCACUUGUUCUUUAAAUGAGGACUAGUAUGAAUGGCAUCACGAGGAUUAUGCUGUCUCCCUCUUUUAAUCAGUGAAACUGAUCUCCCCGUGAAGAAGCGGGAAUAAAUCUAUAAGACGAGAAGACCCUAUGGAGCUUUAAACUCAGCACCACCUACCACUUUAUAAACACUUCCUAAUAAACGGGUAGCACUUGACUCGCUAGUUUUCGGUUGGGGUGACCGCGGAGCAAAAUAAAACCUCCACGAUGAGACUUCCUAAUCUUAGAGCUACAUCUCAAAGAAUCAAUAAAUUGACAUCAAUUGACCCAAAUAACAUUUUGAUCAACGAACCAAGUUACCCUAGGGAUAACAGCGCAAUCCAUUUCAAGAGCUCAUAUCGACAAAUGGGUUUACGCCUCGAUGUUGGAACCGAAAUCACAACGUGAUCUGAGUUCAGA
RNAcentral lists this ribosomal RNA (496 nucleotides) under Chiasmocleis gnoma. RNAcentral's name for it is "LSU rRNA". It matches the Rfam family "Bacterial large subunit ribosomal RNA", at positions 1857 to 2615 of the family's 2925-position model. Lineage: Eukaryota; Metazoa; Chordata; Amphibia; Anura; Microhylidae. The record is from RNAcentral.